GAUGAACGCUGGCGGCGUGCCUAAUACAUGCAAGUCGAGCGAACGGACGAGAAGCUUGCUUUUCUGAUGUUAGCGGCGGACGGGUGAGUAACACGUGGAUAACCUACCUAUAAGACUGGGAUAACUUCGGGAAACCGGAGCUAAUACCGGAUAAUAUUUUGAACCGCAUGGUUCAAAAGUGAAAGACGGUCUUGCUGUCACUUAUAGAUGGAUCCGCGCUGCAUUAGCUAGUUGGUAAGGUAACGGCUUACCAAGGCAACGAUGCAUAGCGACCUGAGAGGGUGAUCGGCCACACUGGAACUGAGACACGGUCCAGACUCCUACGGGAGGCAGCAGUAGGGAAUCUUCCGCAAUGGGCGAAAGCCUGACGGAGCAACGCCGCGUGAGUGAUGAAGGUCUUCGGAUCGUAAAACUCUGUUAUUAGGGAAGAACAUAUGUGUAAGUAACUGUGCACAUCUUGACGGUACCUAAUCAGAAAGCCACGGCUAACUACGUG
Molecule: ribosomal RNA, 496 nt
Filed under: uncultured bacterium
Lineage: Bacteria
Description: partial 16S ribosomal RNA
Rfam family: Bacterial small subunit ribosomal RNA
Source: RNAcentral